This 202-nucleotide long non-coding RNA is filed under the name Elaeis guineensis (African oil palm). RNAcentral's name for it is "long non-coding RNA (EGUI_LNC047816)". The record is from RNAcentral. Lineage: Eukaryota; Viridiplantae; Streptophyta; Magnoliopsida; Arecales; Arecaceae.
UUGCAUGAGUGGAUAUAGCACUCACCUGAAAACUGAGCCUUCCCAUGCCAAACCGAAUCCCUGAUUUUUGACUAGUCAACUCAAUUGCUACUAACUCUCCCAUCUUCUCGAAUUAAAAGAUGCAUGAAAAGGAAAAAAAAAAACGAUGCGAUGCUUAGAAUCAAUCAAUUAAAUCAUUUCUACUAUCGUGGCCACUAGGUUA